RNAcentral lists this long non-coding RNA (2055 nucleotides) under Homo sapiens (human). Its description in RNAcentral is "HSALNT0360106". Lineage: Eukaryota; Metazoa; Chordata; Mammalia; Primates; Hominidae. The record is from RNAcentral.
CCCCUUAUCUUUUGAAGAUCUGAUGCACAAACUCAGGGCAAUGCUGGUUCCCAACUGGAACUGUGGACCUCAGUGGUGUUGAACAAUCGGGAAAAGAAACAUAAAAUGGAAAGGUCUCCACCAGUCAACCGUAAGAAACAGUGAUGACUAUGAUGUAGCCUUCAGCAUGGGGAAGUACCAAUGCCUGCAUUCUAUGCUACCAGCAGCAGCUGCCCUAGCUUCUUUACCACAUCAACGUUUUCAUACACAUUAUCUCACAAUUUGUCUGCUAAGACUUCAGCUGUAAUUUAUGAAGCACUGAAGGGACUACAUCCAUCCGAGUGAUAGAAACUCCAGGCUGAAGCUGUUCAAGCAAUCCUAACUCGUCUUAUGUAUCAAUAACCCCAGUACCUGGCACUGAGCAAUAUCAAAAAUUGGAGAGAAUAAACUGUGGAUAUAUAUUUUUAAAAUUUAGCUCACUAGGAUAAGAGAAUCUGAUUGCAGACUUUAUGUUCUUUGGACUUUAAUUUGUAAAGUGAUUGAAUAUUUGGACUUAAAUUUCUCUCCAGGAAUUUGAAAAUGGUAGGGAGUUUGUAUUCAAACUUAGGGCAUCUUUAUGUUGACAGUCGAUUAAAUAUCUUAAUCAGGUUGUUUGAUCUCUACAACCUGUUAUGCUGUCUUUUAGAAACAUGACUAUAUAUAAUUUGAAAUGGGGAAUAGGAAAUAGAUUUUGAGCCUUGGCUACAGUAUAGUCUUGGAGCUAAUUUCAUGGAUGUACAGGUGUCAUUAAUCUCAGAGCUUGUGAGGGGGAAAUCCACACUGUCUAUAGUGAUCCCAUGGUGACUGCCAAAGCAGCAUUAGUUGGCCCUGGGAGAAUGGCCAGUAGGAGUAAGACUGUCUUGACAGGUUGCUGAUCUCUUCUGAGGGCAACAGCCACACUGCAGGAGGAAAACAAACAGCUGAGAGUGGUGGCCUAAAAAGGUGCUAGUCAGAUUUCCUGUGGAGGGGAGCACAGUUGACUCAAAACCCCAAAUGCCACCCCUCUGGAUCCAGCACCAUGUGCGGUGCUGCCAAAUUCUUCCAGGAUGGUCCCAGCCAACCAAUGCUGAGCCUGGUGGGAGUAGUGGUACAGGGUCCAUUCCUGCCUGAUGUGAAACUUUGCUGGCAGGUGAUUGGCUUGAGGACUUUCCAUUGGUCUUUUCAAAACUUUCUUAGAACUGCACCAUGCUACCCAAUCAUUGUUCCUUCCUUUAGCCUUCCCCACACUGCCUCCCACAGGUGCCAGACUUACCUCUUGGUCUGAGGCCGUCCUUACUUACUCAUGCUUCCUCCCUGUACCCUUCAUAGGCAUGUCCCCCAGUAAAGCUCUUGCACAUUUCACCUCGUCUUGGUGUCAGCUUCUCAGAGGUCCUGAACUAACGCACUAAAAAAUCUUAGGGGAAUGAAAGGAUUUUUAAAAUGCAAAGUUAAAAUGAAAUGCUUAUGGGAUCUCCUUGCCACUGCCUUCUCCUUCUCCUCCAGCCCAAGUUCCUCUGGAUACAUUUUGCAAACCACUUCACAACAUAGGAAGUAUGGAGGAAAAUGUGGUUUUACUGUGAGAAGAAAAAUAUAGAUGAUUCUUUAGGAAAUUCUGACGAGAGCAGAUGAAGGCUGAAUUGGAUCCCAAGACAGGAGAAGGUAUUAAAGGUGAUAAAUAUAAGACAGGGAAAGUCACACUUUAAGCUGAACAAAGAACUCUGGCUAAAGGAUUUGAAUCUCUUUUAGCUCCAAAGAAAGUUCCAGGUAAGGUUCUGAAGCAGGGAGUUUGUCAUAGUUAAGAAAGGAAGCAAUUAAAGUAAGAAAGUAUCUUAGAAGCAUUUUCCAGGUCAGUAUGAAUAGUAACAAAAUUCCAGAGAUAGUGCUAACCAGACAGGGGGAGGGAGAGACUGGAGGCAAAAUAUAAUGCUCCUGAGCCUGAUUUAAGCAGCUAAAGCAAAGUCCAGGCCAGGGAAAUGGAGGGCAGUGGCAAGAUACCACGGAGAGGUUUGUUACUCAGAAGACUGCUUGUAUUUUUGAAGUACAUUUUCAAAGGGUAAA